ACUAUUUCACAAAUUAAUCCCCACCCCAACCAGUCACUGUUUCUAUGAGUGCAGCGAGAUGAUGGCAGCUGCAAACCCCUCAAAGACCAUAAAAAUAAGAUGAUAUUGGAAAAAGCAAAGUUUGCCUGAUUUCCAGUGUAUGAUGAGGAUGAUAUUUUAUUUUAUUUACUCAGUUUAGCUCCUUCUAAGAGUUUCUUCACUAUAAGAUGAUCAACAUGUCUUUCCUUAAUCACUCUAGUAAUUUUUGAUCCAAUCCUGCAAAGUGUCAGCCAACAUCCAAGGAUUCCCAGAAGUCCUCCAUGAAUGGGACAGAGUCCUGCAUGGAGUUCAGUCUGUCCAUUCUAGCCUGUGCUGAUUUAGCAAGGUAAGCCUGUGCUGGAGGCAACUUUAAAGCUUUUUAAUCUUACAAUCCUUGAUUACUUAGACACAGGAAAAACUGUUGUUUGAAGCUGAUCCAAGUAGGGGGAGGAGGAGAGACCUGGCAGAUGUCAAUUUGAGCCCUAGGAAUAACAGUCUCCCCCAAGCAAUCUAACUCAUCAAGCUAGUAGUUACUUAGUCUGAUCCUGCAGUGCCUUGUGUUUUAUUUCUGUUUGGGUCUUCCUGAGAAAAGACUCUAAAAAGGAAAAAGAAAAAAAAAACAACCGUGGAAAGCAAAACAUACAUAGUCAACUAUCUGCAAAUUUCUGGCACAGUCAAGCCUAUAGUGAAAAGUCAGCAAUGCAAAUGAUUCACUGAUUGUGAGAAUAUUUUGUGUGACACAAGCACUGUGAUCUGUGUCUGCUAUUAAAUUGAUAGACAAGAUUCCACUUAUCUCAGAAAGUCCAGGUUUGAACGGUAGCUCAGUGGUUGCAACUGGAGCGGCAACUUGUGGGCCACUGACCAACAGUCGUACAAUGACACGUCAAUAAAAUAAAUCAGUCAAAAGAAAUAGAACAAACAAAUUCAGCAUGACUGUAAUCUGUGCUGAUGGCUCCCUCAGGUGAUCCCACCACCAUAUCUGAUUUUUGUUCCAUUAGGUGGGAAAGUCUUUUAAUGUUUGGUGCCAUCAGAUACUCUGGUCUUGUAGUGUACUGGGAAGGAAAAAAAAAAGAAGAAAAGAGGAAUGGUGCCAGGAACAUCCAGAAGUGAAAUCUUAACUCCAGUAAACUAUAUGGGAGUUUUACCUGAUAGCACUGUGUCCAGAAAUUUGGUGUGGCCUAGAACACAGGGUGUUAUCAGGUCCUCAUACAGAGAGGGAACAAAGAGUUACACUAAUAAAAACCCCCAACACUAAAAUACUGCCUUUUUCUUCCAGACACAAGAUGGACAAGUUCAUAUUUUUACUUCCGAUGGUAAAAGAGCUGUGGUUAUUUUGACCACAUCAAGCACAGGGCCUCUGGGAAUUUUUUCUGGGUGAUGGCAUAACCCAACCACAUUUAACUCUUUAUGGAAGUGAUGCCCUGAAGAAUUUUCAGGCAGUUUUUAUACUUCUAAGGAUGAGAACUAAGACUGACAUGUGGGUCUGUGGGUAUGAAAUAACAUUUAAAUACUUUUUAUAGAUAUUUAAUGUAAGUACUUCCACUGGCUCUUUGAUGAUACCUACGAAGCAUGAGAUGAAAAUCUGUAACUUAACUUGGCACAGGUAACUCAGAUUCCUGGUGAAAUCAGAUACUGCAUAUGUUUGCAGCUUCACACAAGGUUUUCCAUUCCCAGAUUUGACACAUUCUGGAGGGAAGAGACAUUUGGAGUCUUUUAGAUGCUCAUUUUUUUAACUAUGAAUUUUGUCUCAUUACUGAGAAAUUGAACUUAUGGCUACUGAACUAUGGAGUUUUCUCUGAUCUAAGUCAAAAUUGACAUCUAUGUGAUUGUGUCAAACUAGUCCUUAGAAGCUGUAAAUCUCUGAAAAUCAUCAGGCCUUGAAAAAGGGCUAGAAGUGCAAAGGCUGACUCGGUGGCAGGGACAAGAAGGGGGGAACACAGUGAGCUAAUUCACAGUGCUGAUGUGCAUGGUUACAAAUUUUCACCAGAAACAUUUUUUUUCAGAUUUUGAAAGAAAACAUUCUUUUUUUUUUCUUUUUUUUUUUUUUGGUAGCAAAAUAAAUUAGGUGGCACAGAAAGAAACACUUGACAAACUUGACAGGACAGUUACUGCUCCUUUACAGCAACAUCCAUCUCAUGCAUGAUCUGAAUUCUGGACAAAGAAAGUACCGCUGAAAGAGAAAGAAAAAUCUUGCUUUUAAGUUUGGACACCCCUCAGCCAAGCCAUUCACUGUCCUUUUUGGGGGUAAGGGGAUGGAGGAGGGAAGGCAAAUGCUGUGCUAAAAGCAUUUUAUGAAGUGUGUUUUUCUCAUGUCUUCUGCAUAAAGGCAGCACCAUUUAUAACCCAAAGUCUUUGUUUUGGUUUUGGCCCCAAGUAUUCACUGGCAAAGUUCUGAAAAACAACAGUGGGACUAACAAGACCAAAAAAAAAAAAACAUGUAGGAAAAACAAGGAAAUAAAACCAGACCAUAGUGCUGGAGAUGUAUAGAUAAAAGACCCACCACAGCAUCUGAAUUUUAACUCACCAAAACCAGAAAUGUACAACAGUGCAGCAAUUCUUUUGCACAGAGAGCAAAGCUGCUUGAGAUAUUACUUUCACCCACUGACAGGGAAUACAAUUUAUUUGUGAUUUUUGAUCUUAUACAUUAAAAAAAAAACAAAACAAAAUUCUCCUGGAAAAGCAGAAUUGGUGCUAAUGUUAAGGUAAUGCUGUAGCUCUUCAGUCCAGGAACGCAUUUCUUAUUUGUACUCAAGCCAAGUUCGUUCACUUAUCUUUUCACUAAAGCCACAGCCUUUUGAAGAUGUUGCACUUGGACUUCCUUCCUGCCAAGUUUCUAAAUUACGAUGUGCUGUGUCCAUGAGAAACUGAAUGAGUUUUAUUAGGUGCCAGAAUGUUUCACCCUCCACCACAUCAGGUCCAGGGCAGAAGUAGUGCAUGAAAAGACACUGUCAAUACAUUCUGUCCCUCAAAUGUAUAAAGAUUUUCUUUUCCCUCUCCCAACACUGAUUGUAAAAACAUUGAAAAUAUCUUGAAAGAAAAUGUUUAUUGAUCUCUCAAAUCUCCUGGUGCACUUUCACUCAAAAAGAACAUCUGUCUACAUCUCCUGCCACUCUUUUGUUUUCAAGGUAGGCUACACACUGCAGAAAGCUCUACCAGUGAAAUAUAAGCUAUCAUUUGUAGCUUUAUUGAUGAAGGGUUUAUUGAUUGGGGAUUGGCUAGACAGGUUAAACAGAAAAUCAAACACAAGGUUUUUUUCCACUGUAUUGAAGAAGAAAGCCUAUCAAAGAAGUCCACUGUGUUCCUGUUUUGGAGUUAUCUGUGGGAGAACAUGCCCAUUUAGCUGCUUUCUUGUUGGCAUUGCUGUCCUGAAUCUCCCUGCCUUUAGACACAAGCCCAGCUCUCCCACUAUGUUGUUGAUUUUGAUCCCUUGGACGAAAGGCCACCUGGGUGGUAGUUCUGCAAUUCAAAUCAUCACGGUGUUGUAUGAUGUAAUACUUCUUCAGAGCUGGGGGGAAGCCAGUUUUUUCAUUCUACCCUUUUGGCUCUUUUUUGUUGAUAAUUAAGCUUUCACAAAUUUUGUAAAAUAUUCCAUAAAAUACUGAGAUGGCAUUAUUAUUAGAUAAAUAUAAUUACUUAUAUUAAAAUGUUAUUAAUAACUGGCAGUAAUUUCCAUUUCAUAUCAUGCCUUGAGACAGCACAUUUUCCCUCAUGUGAUGUAGGAAAUAACCUUUAUACAGUCAGUAUUACUGUGUGGUAAUGUUGGCUUUAUUAUGGAGACCACAGUUCAUUAGGGAGCCUGAUCACUUCUUUAACAGAACACUUUGCCUUUAUUCUGAGGUGAUUUAAACCUACAAAAGUGAGAAGCUCCACAUGGAAAGCAGGAACUUUGUGUGCAGAGCACGAAGUAGGAGAAAGCACUUGCAUUUUUGAAUGGGACACAGGUCAGGAAUAGUAUUGCAUACACUCAGCUUUUCCUUAGGCACAGUAGGACCACAAACUGAAACCCUCCUAGAGAGAAUACAGAAGGGUCUUUGAAAAGCUCAAUUCGUUAAACAUUUGUUCCUAAUCACCCAAACGACUUUAACCAUUUUCACAAAUGCAAAUUGCCAUUAUCCUCUGCUAGCCAGAAUAGGACUUCAUGAUUUAAUGCAAAUUGGUCAUGUCCCACAGGCACAGUUGGAUUUUUAAAGUAUGAGGAUUGAGUUGCUUCUCAAAAUGUCAGCAGGUAAAAUAAAUUUGCCCAGGAAAUUUAUUAACAAUUGACACUUUCUCCCUCCUGUUCGUCAUGAAAGGCAGUUCUGACACUGAAAAGACUGAACACAGUGUAUGUAUGGUGGAUGUGAAUAGUUCCUUAUUACCCUAUCAGCAUCAUGUCAAUAGAGAAGCUAGGAAAAUCAAUUUUCCUUUUAAAUACUAGAACACUAGUGAGGGCAGUGCAGCAGAGUGAGAUUUGUCACCAAUUUCAGAGAUGCCAGUAUUUCAACCAGUUUGUAUUGGGAUUUUCUCAAAGAUUGAAUUCUAUUCUCAGACUCUGAAAUAGAUUCCUCUUCUUUUCAAUAUUGUAUUUUGCUACAUUUUUAUGUUCUGCUUUGAUUGUUUAGACAAAGGUGAUAUCUAAAGGUGAUAUCUAAACCAGCUGGAAAGUAUCCACCAGAGUCUCCCCUCUAGGGUGAAUUUAUCUCAAACACAUCAAACAUGGCAGAUGAUAAAAUUUCUGUUUGCUGAAGUGCAAAUUGUUGAGAAGAUCCAGUUUCAGAAUGUGGUAAUUACAGCCCCUAAAGGAUGUAAAGUAUCAGCCAACACUUAGGUGGUGUUUCAUAGUCCAUGAAAUAAUCUCAAAAAUUAUCUCAAAAAGCUCCUCUAGGUAAUUCCUUCUAGCUGAACUUGACCAGAUUUCCUAGAUUUACCAGAGCACUGGAAGAGCAGAGGACUCUGAAGAAGUGGAGGAACCCAUCAAUAGGGUGCCAUCAGCCUCCUGAUGCUUUGUGCCUCAUCCCACCUUCUUGUUCUCCCUGGGAGCUGCCUCUUGCUCCUUCUGAACAGGUUUUUGGAGUUCUUGUCCUGAUGCCCACACCACCCUGACUGUGCUGUUCCAUUCAAGCCAUGGGAUGCAAAAGAUUAAAGCUAAUUUAAGAUGGGAGCUCUCAAGCACAGCCUGUAAUCCCAGUUCUGCUGCAGGCUUCUUGAGGAUGAUGCAACACUGUGAGAGACCUGAAAACCGGCCAGUUCCAGGCUCCCAGCCUUUGUCUGUUUCUUGGAAGCACAGCUCACUCAUUAAGCAUCCCUGGAUUUUGCAGGCAACCAUGCCUGUCUGGAACAUGUCUAAGACAAGAAGAUUCACCUUCCAGUGGAACUGGACUCUGGAGAGAGUGAGCAGAAAAACCUCUGGCAGAUUGCCCUGUGUGGUUGUAAAUGAAUGUACUAUUUCCUUUUCAUAUUACAGUACCAGGAGCUGAAACGGAGAAAAAAAAAGAAAAAGAAAUUGCUCUUUUGCCAUGGAGAGCACAUUUGAGCAAGGCAACCCAAUGAAACACUGGCCUAAACCCAUAUUUUUUUAAAUUAUAAAACCAUGGUUAGGGUUUUAAUGCAGUAUAACUCCAGCAGCUAUACAGAUGUUAUCAUACCCACCUAGUUUAUUACAUGAAAACUGUAGUAAACCUGUCAUGAUUGCAGGAACACUAGACUCAAAUACUAGGUCCUGUAGUAAUAAUAUGGUAAAACAUACCAAAGCGUAGUUUUAAUCUGUCAUCAACCAAAUUUAUUGGACAGAAUGUGGCUUGAGAGCACUGAAACCCCUAGAACAGUGUUUUGAUGAUUGGGCACAAUUUUUAAUGAGUUAUUUUAAUUUUCAGAAAGUGUUUCAGUAGCACUAGAGAUGAUGCUUAAUGAGCUAAAGGCGUGAAAGAUCUGGAGGCUGAAUUUGCUCUGACAUGUCAUGGUGUACACAUAAAUUUUAUGUCUGUUGUGUUUGCAGAUUGACAGUGCUUUGGAGUCUACAAAAAGUAAAGCAGUAAUGAGGAAUUAGGAAGGAAUUAUUUUUCACACCUACCAGCAGCUGUGAAUCCUUCCUCUUGUGUAACCAGGACGUGCUACAAUACCAAAUUAUAAAAAAAGCUUCAAGUGGAAAACAAAUGACAAGUAAUAUAUAGACAUAGACAAAUAACUGAUGUUUGUUUUCAUCAUUACUGCUUUAAUACUUUAGGCUCAUCUGAGUUUUGCCCCUUAUUGUCUGUUAUACAGGGAAGUAAUCCCAAAAGUCUUGUACUUAAAACCUUGGCUAUGACCCACUUUCUCCUGUAGGCCAGAUGACACAGCACCUGUAAAAAGUCCAAGGAAUUAGCUAAGAACUCACUGUGCUGGAGGAAAUUACAAAAGGUUGGUGAUAACUAAGAUGAAAUGGUGUGUCAGCCUACAGACAAUACUACGUCUUCCUCUUUUCACCUCUUCUUUAUGGGUUACUGGCAAUAUUAACUGAAGCAAGAUAAGUGUCUAAAACUGGAUAUGAAUAUAUGCAUUUAAACUAACAUGAAUGAUAAUAUGUACUUAAGCACUCACAGUCAUCAUGUGGUGCCCUCUCCAAGGUCUGUGAGCACAUUUGCAGGUGCUGCUGAAGUGCUUGUGCUUGAAAUUGGCAGUAAAGUCAAAUAAAUGCGUGUCUGCAAAGAGACUAAAUAAAAUAACUGCAAACAUUUUAAGCUAAACCUUUAGAAUAUGGUGGUAAACAGCCUGCAGUCAUGGGGCAGUGACUGAAAUAAGGAGCGGGUUUCUUAUUGCACUUGGUGUCAUUAUAUUCACUUUAUACCCUGCAGUUAUCCUUUGGAGAUUACAAAGGUAGAAAGAGGCUGUGGAGAUUAUCUGCUGAGGCUCUCUGAGGCUGUGAGAAAGUCAGCUUGUUGGGAAUAUCGUGUGUCUGUUUGGAGGGGUUCUGGCAAUGAGCUAGUGAAGGAAAGCGGGAGAGAGCCUGGCUCUGUGCAGCUCACCUCUUCCCUACUCACUUCUCGUUUCCUCCAUGGACCCUGGAGCCCAGGCAGGGUCCUCAUCCCUUGGAUGCACAUAUUUUGAUGGUUCUAUCAGUAGUAUGUCAUAGCAAACUCUUUUUGCCUGCUGAAUUAAGAUUGGAAUGGAAGGCUGAGGGGUUGGCUGUAGAUGUUUUGAUGUCAGCCUGUAAAAACAAAGCUGUUGUCUGCAAAGAAUAAACUGUAUUCCUUCAAAUCUG
Long non-coding RNA from Pseudopipra pipra, 7234 nucleotides. RefSeq lists it as uncharacterized. NCBI's taxonomy places the organism in Eukaryota, Metazoa, Chordata, Aves, Passeriformes, Pipridae. The transcript is spliced from 2 exons. The record is from RefSeq and is a predicted model, not a curated record.